GACGAACGCUGGCGGCGUGCUUAACACAUGCAAGUCGAACGGAAAGGCCCUGCUUUUGUGGGGUGCUCGAGUGGCGAACGGGUGAGUAACACGUGAGUAACCUGCCCUUGACUUUGGGAUAACUUCAGGAAACUGGGGCGAAUACCGGAUAGGAGCUCCUGCUGCAUGGUGGGGGUUGGAAAGUUUCGGCGGUUGGGGAUGGACUCGCGGCUUAUCAGCUUGUUGGUGGGGUAGUGGCUUACCAAGGCGGUGACGGGUAGCCGGCCUGGGGGGGUGACCGGCCACAUUGCGCCUGCGAUACGCCCCAGACUACUACGGGAGGCAGCAGUGGGAAAUAUUGCCCAAUGGGCGCAAGCCUGAUGCAGCAACGCCGCGUGCGGGAUGACGGCCUUAUAGUUGUAAACCGCUUUCGCCUGUGACGAAGCGUCAGUGACGGUAAUGGGUAAAGAAGCACCGGCUAACUACGUG
This 468-nucleotide ribosomal RNA is filed under the name uncultured bacterium. RNAcentral's name for it is "partial 16S ribosomal RNA". It matches the Rfam family "Bacterial small subunit ribosomal RNA", at positions 28 to 507 of the family's 1533-position model. The record is from RNAcentral.